This 447-nucleotide ribosomal RNA is filed under the name uncultured bacterium. RNAcentral's name for it is "partial 16S ribosomal RNA". It matches the Rfam family "Bacterial small subunit ribosomal RNA", at positions 330 to 793 of the family's 1533-position model. The record is from RNAcentral.
CCCAGACUCCUACGGGAGGCAGCAGUGGGGGAUAUUGCACAAUGGGGGGAACCCUGAUGCAGCGACGCCGCGUGGGUGAAGGAGCGUUUCGGCGCGUAAAGCCCUGUCGGCAGGGAAGAAGGAGGACGGUACCUGACUAAGAAGCCCCGGCUAACUACGUGCCAGCAGCCGCGGUAAUACGUAGGGGGCAAGCGUUAUCCGGAUUUACUGGGUGUAAAGGGGGCGCAGACGGCAGCGCAAGCCAGGAGUGAAAGCCCGGGGCCCAACCCCGGGACUGCUCUUGGAACUGCGCGGCUGGAGUGCAGGAGGGGCAGGCGGAAUUCCUGGUGUAGCGGUGAAAUGCGUAGAUAUCAGGAGGAACACCGGUGGCGAAGGCGGCCUGCUGGACUGCGACUGACGUUGAGGCCCGAAAGCGUGGGGAGCAAACAGGAUUAGAUACCCCCGUAA